UACGAAGGGGGCUAGCGUUGCUCGGAAUGACUGGGCGUAAAGGGCGCGUAGGCGGCUCGCUUAGUCAGGCGUGAAAGCCCCGGGCUCAACCUGGGAACCGCGCUUGAGACUGGCAUGCUCGAGUUCGGGAGAGGAUGGUGGAAUUCCCAGUGUAGAGGUGAAAUUCGUAGAUAUUGGGAAGAACACCGAUGGCGAAGGCAGCCAUCUGGACCGACACUGACGCUGAGGCGCGAAAGCGUGGGGAGCAAACAGG
RNAcentral lists this ribosomal RNA (253 nucleotides) under uncultured bacterium. Its description in RNAcentral is "partial 16S ribosomal RNA". It matches the Rfam family "Bacterial small subunit ribosomal RNA", at positions 524 to 776 of the family's 1533-position model. The record is from RNAcentral.